CUUCGAUCGUGUGUCCGCCGUUGUUUGGAGCGGAUUCGGAUGAAAGCGGCUUCUGCUGCUCCGUCCUUGCUUCCAUUGGCUUUCCUCGCUUUUGCCACGCGUGGGCAUUUUUUCGCUCUAUGGUUACAUAUAUACAAUAAUUGCUUCUUUAUUGAAUUAGGGUUCAUGUUGAUUCAACUUGGUCAUUGUGCUGCUGUUGGAGCUCAGGACAUGCAUCAUUUGCGCAGGGAUAUUCGGUUUAGUAUGUGGCAGUUCUAUUCUAUGUGAUAAUUUGAUGUUUCAAAUAGCACGUCCUUAUGUAGAUAUGCUCUGAUUGUUUCUUAGCAGGAUCACCUCCAAACAAAUUAGAUCAGCGAUCUUUUUUUGUCACUUUGAUUUAUCCACCACUCUAAAUUGAUUUAGCACCUGAGCAAGUUGUCAAUGACAUGUUAGUUUUAGGUGAGAACAUUGUUCCUCCUAUUCUUUGUGAUAAUUUGGUGUCUCAAAUACCAUGUCCCUAUGUAAAUAUGUAUUAGCUGUUUCUUAGCAGGAACACCUCCAAACAAG
Molecule: long non-coding RNA, 546 nt
Filed under: Sorghum bicolor (sorghum)
Lineage: Eukaryota; Viridiplantae; Streptophyta; Magnoliopsida; Poales; Poaceae
Description: long non-coding RNA (SBIC_LNC004218)
Source: RNAcentral